CAACUAUGCACUUACAUGUGAACUAGUGGUCUCAUUUCCCCUUCCCUGUUUGUGUUUUCUUUCCUGAACUAUGGGUGAUACUCUACUUCUCAGAUUGUCCUACUCACCUUCUUACAAAACUGUCACACUCUUCUACUAUUUUCUUUCAAGAACUGAUUCUAGAAGGAUCAUUUUAAUACUGUUUCUCUCAACUUAAUUUCUUUAAAAAUAUAUCACGCACUCUCACUACUCUUAGAGAUUAGGUCCUACCCCCUUCGUGUAAGCAUUGCUUUAGGUACCUUUGAGUACUCACUGAACUUUGAUGCACAAGGCUGGUAAUUCCACACUGCACUUGUUCAAUAUGUUUGGUAAGUGUUUGCGUGCUGGUAUUGGCCAGGGACCCAAUGGGGCCUCAGGGAUCUUUGUCGCACCCAGACCAUGGCAAAGGCUGUGAAACUCGAGAAGAGCGAGGUUGGAAGAUUUUUCCUGACUGAAGGCUCCAUAUAGAAUAACUUCUUAUUUUCAAUCUUUAUUACUGUAAUUCCUCUAUACUUGGUUUGUAAUAAUUUGUAAAUGAAUGAUUGGGUUAAUAAUGAAAUUGGGUGGGGGUUAUGCAUGCUUAGUUUAAGCAAUGGGUAGAAAACACGUUCAUAGGAUUUUAUUUACUUAUUUACGCAAUAGAUAUCCCGUAUAGGACAUGCAUCUCAUACAUUAGAGUUCCUGUUUUAGGUUCAGUACUUUUAUCCUAUUAUUGUGCUCAUUUCGCAACCAUGAUCACUUAAUAACAAACCAAUAACUGUCAUAAGACUACUGUCGCAUUCUCAUUAGCAUUUAAAGACCAUAUUUCUUGGAACUUCUAUGUGCAUUAGACAUCUUGUUACUUAGGGUUUUAUUUUGCCUGAGUUGUAAUCGUAAAC
RNAcentral lists this long non-coding RNA (896 nucleotides) under Nicotiana benthamiana. RNAcentral's name for it is "long non-coding RNA (NBEN_LNC039755)". The record is from RNAcentral. Lineage: Eukaryota; Viridiplantae; Streptophyta; Magnoliopsida; Solanales; Solanaceae.